UACGUAGGGUGCGAGCGUUGUCCGGAAUUAUUGGGCGUAAAGAGCUUGUAGGCGGUUUGUCGCGUCUGCUGUGAAAAUCCGGGGCUCAACCCCGGACUUGCAGUGGGUACGGGCAGGCUAGAGUGUGGUAGGGGAGACUGGAAUUCCUGGUGUAGCGGUGAAAUGCGCAGAUAUCAGGAGGAACACCGGUGGCGAAGGCGGGUCUCUGGGCCAAUACUGACGCUGAGGAGCGAAAGCGUGGGGAGCGAACAGG
RNAcentral lists this ribosomal RNA (253 nucleotides) under uncultured bacterium. RNAcentral's name for it is "partial 16S ribosomal RNA". It matches the Rfam family "Bacterial small subunit ribosomal RNA", at positions 524 to 776 of the family's 1533-position model. The record is from RNAcentral.